This 202-nucleotide ribosomal RNA is filed under the name uncultured Glomeraceae. RNAcentral's name for it is "partial small subunit ribosomal RNA". It matches the Rfam family "Eukaryotic small subunit ribosomal RNA", at positions 546 to 749 of the family's 1831-position model. The record is from RNAcentral. Lineage: Eukaryota; Fungi; Glomeromycota; Glomeromycetes; Glomerales; Glomeraceae.
UUUUGGAGGGCAAGUCUGGUGCCAGCAGCCGCGGUAAUUCCAGCUCCAAUAGCGUAUAUUAAAGUUGUUCCAGUUAAAAAGCUCGUAGUUGAAUUUCGGGAUCACUAUGUCGGUCGUGCUUCGGUACGUAGUGUCAUUACUGGUUUCUCCCUUCUGAAGAACCAUGAUGUCAUUAAUUUGAUGUUCCUUGGGAAUUCAGGAC